UACGGGGGGGGUAAGCGUUGUUCGGAAUUACUGGGCGUAAAGGGCUCGUAGGCGGCCAACUAAGUCGGACGUGAAAUCCCUCAGCUUAACUGGGGAACUGCGUCUGAUACUGGAUGGCUUGGAUUUGGGAGAGAGAUGCGGAAUUCCAGGUGUAGCGGUGAAAUGCGUAGAUAUCUGGAGGAACACCGGUGGCGAAGGCGGCAUCCUGGACCAACAUUGACGCUGAGGAGCGAAAGCCAGGGGAGCAAACGGG
This 253-nucleotide ribosomal RNA is filed under the name uncultured bacterium. RNAcentral's name for it is "partial 16S ribosomal RNA". It matches the Rfam family "Bacterial small subunit ribosomal RNA", at positions 524 to 776 of the family's 1533-position model. The record is from RNAcentral.